RNAcentral lists this ribosomal RNA (253 nucleotides) under uncultured bacterium. RNAcentral describes it as "partial 16S ribosomal RNA". It matches the Rfam family "Bacterial small subunit ribosomal RNA", at positions 524 to 776 of the family's 1533-position model. The record is from RNAcentral.
UACGGAGGAGGCAAGCGUUAUCCGGAAUUAUUGGGCGUAAAGCGUCCGUAGGCGGUUCACCAAGUCUGCUGUCAAAGGGUGGGGCUUAACCUCAUAAAGGCAGUGGAAACUGGUGAGCUAGAGUGCGGUAGGGGUAAGGGGAAUUCCCAGUGUAGCGGUGAAAUGCGUAGAGAUUAGGAAGAACAUCGGUGGCGACAGCGCCUUACUGGGCCUGCACUGACACUGAUGGACGAUAGCUAGGGGAGCGAAAGGG